RNAcentral lists this ribosomal RNA (252 nucleotides) under uncultured Ruminococcus sp. RNAcentral's name for it is "partial 16S ribosomal RNA". It matches the Rfam family "Bacterial small subunit ribosomal RNA", at positions 524 to 776 of the family's 1533-position model. The record is from RNAcentral. Lineage: Bacteria; Bacillati; Bacillota; Clostridia; Eubacteriales; Oscillospiraceae.
UACGUAGGGAGCGAGCGUUGUCCGGAAUUACUGGGUGUAAAGGGAGCGUAGGCGGGGAUGCAAGUUGGGUGUUAAAUCUACCGGCUCAACUGGUAGUCGCACUCAAAACUGCAGCUCUUGAGUGAAGUAGAGGCAGGCGGAAUUCCUAGUGUAGCGGUGAAAUGCGUAGAGAUUAGGAAGAACACCAGUGGCGAAGGCGACUUACUGGACUGUAACUGACGCUGAGGCAUGAGAGCAUGGGGAGCAAACAGG